CGCUCAAAGGCAAAACUCAAGGUGGCGAUUUUGUUGGCACAAUUAUCUCAAUGUUGGGGCAAGCUCGGCUUGCUCUUUAGCUCAACUUUUCUUCUUUUAUGAAAGAUAAUAGCUAAAGAUUACUAAAAUGUUUGUGGUCAACUGGUUUUGGGAUUUUCUUAGUUUCUUUACUUCGAAAACUGCAAAGAUUGUGUUUCUGGGUCUUGAUAAUGCUGGAAAAACUACACUUCUUCAUUUACUUAAAAAUAAUCAUCUUACACAGCAUACGCCAACUUUAUACUGCACUAAGGAAGAGUUAAGCAUCGGCAAUAUUCGAUUUCAAACGUACGACUUGGGCGGGCACGAGCAAGCCAGAAGAGUCUGGCGCGACUAUUUUCCUAAUAUUGACGCAGUUGUGUUUAUGGUAGACGCCGCUCAGCGUGAUCGCCUAAAAGAAGCUCAACUGGAACUCUACAGGCUUCUCUCCGAUGAAGAAUUAUCUAAAGUUCCCGUAUUAGUUUUAGGAAAUAAAAUUGAUGAGCGGAGCGCCUGCAGCGAAGAGGAAUUCCGCCAAUUAAUGGGAAUUGCCCACCUCGUGCCGUACGAUAAAUCCUCUGCGGUCCCUGAAGGUGUGAGGCCCCUUCAAGUAUUUAUGUGUUCAUUAAAAAAACGGCAGGGCUACGGCGAAGGUUUUCGUUGGUUAUCACGAC
Zophobas morio is the source of this 689-nucleotide long non-coding RNA. RefSeq lists it as uncharacterized. NCBI's taxonomy places the organism in Eukaryota, Metazoa, Arthropoda, Insecta, Coleoptera, Tenebrionidae. The record is from RefSeq and is a predicted model, not a curated record. The transcript is spliced from 5 exons.